UGAAGGAUGAAGCUGCGGAAACAGCGGCCAGACUUCGUGAAGCUGAAGGGACCAAAAGCCGUCUUUUGCAAAUGGCAUCUGAAAAAAUCGCGCCGUUACAGGAUGCAGUGGAUCUGGACGAAGCAACCGAUAAAGAAAAAGCUUCUCUUCUGGCAUGGAGAAAGUACCGGGUACAGGUAAACCGUGUUGAUACUUUAAA
This 199-nucleotide small RNA is filed under the name Salmonella enterica subsp. enterica serovar Typhimurium. RNAcentral's name for it is "IS009". Lineage: Bacteria; Pseudomonadati; Pseudomonadota; Gammaproteobacteria; Enterobacterales; Enterobacteriaceae. The record is from RNAcentral.